AUUGAACGCUGGCGGCAUGCCUUACACAUGCAGGUCGAACGGUAACAGGUCUUCGGAUGCUGACGAGUGGCGAACGGGUGAGUAAUACAUCGGAACGUGCCUAGUAGUGGGGGAUAACUACUCGAAAGAGUGGCUAAUACCGCAUGAGAUCUACGGAUGAAAGCAGGGGAUCGCAAGACCUUGUGCUACUAGAGCGGCCGAUGGCAGAUUAGGUAGUUGGUGGGAUAAAAGCUUACCAAGCCGACGAUCUGUAGCUGGUCUGAGAGGACGAUCAGCCACACUGGGACUGAGACACGGCCCAGACUCCUACGGGAGGCAGCAGUGGGGAAUUUUGGACAAUGGGCACAAGCCUGAUCCAGCAAUGCCGCGUGCAGAUGAAGGCCUUCGGGUUGUAAACUGCUUUUGUACGGAACGAAAAGCCCCGGGUUAAUACCCUGGGGUCAUGACGGUACCGUAAGAAUAAGCACCGGCUAACUACGUGCCAGCCGCCGCUGUAA
This 497-nucleotide ribosomal RNA is filed under the name uncultured bacterium. RNAcentral's name for it is "partial 16S ribosomal RNA". It matches the Rfam family "Bacterial small subunit ribosomal RNA", at positions 30 to 523 of the family's 1533-position model. The record is from RNAcentral.